GACGAACGCUGGCGGCGUGCUUAACACAUGCAAGUCGAACGGUGAUGCUCCAGCUUGCUGGCGUGGAUCAGUGGCGAACGGGUGAGUAACACGUGAGCAACCUGCCCCAGACUCUGGAAUAAGCGCUGGAAACGGCGUCUAAUACUGGAUACGAAACUGGCCCGCAUGGGCAUGGUUUGGAAAGUUUUUCGGUUUGGGAUGGGCUCGCGGCCUAUCAGCUUGUUGGUGAGGUAAUGGCUCACCAAGGCGACGACGGGUAGCCGGCCUGAGAGGGCGACCGGCCACACUGGGACUGAGACACGGCCCAGACUCCUACGGGAGGCAGCAGUGGGGAAUAUUGCACAAUGGGCGAAAGCCUGAUGCAGCGACGCCGCGUGAGGGAUGACGGCCUUCGGGUUGUAAACCUCUUUCAGUAGGGAAGAAGCGAAAGUGACGGUACCUGCAGAAGAAGCACCGGCUAACUACGUG
RNAcentral lists this ribosomal RNA (468 nucleotides) under uncultured bacterium. Its description in RNAcentral is "partial 16S ribosomal RNA". It matches the Rfam family "Bacterial small subunit ribosomal RNA", at positions 28 to 507 of the family's 1533-position model. The record is from RNAcentral.